AUCAAACGCAAGUGAAAAAGAAGAGGUUUCAUCAAAAAAAGCAGAAAAUGGAUCAAGUUAAUAUGCCUACUCGACCAUACUUGGAUGCUACAGUUGUGCCCAUUUUAUUGCAAGCACUAUCUGCUUUGGCUCGAGAAAGGCCUCAAGAUCCAAUACAGUUUCUAGCUGAUUUUCUUGUCAGAAAUAAAUCACAGUAUGCUCCUCAAACUGCAGAUGUGAAUGAAUAAUUCUACCUGCUCGACCCCAUCAAAUCAUUAUAUGCAAGUGUGUUUCCAAAGCUCAUUAUCCUCCAUUUCAGAGAUUCGUUUUUUUUUUCUCAUCUUUUAUAUAAUUGGGAUUCACAAGUUUUAUGAAAAAGAAUUAUUUAAACAUAAAUAACUUCAAAACAUGCAAACAUCAAAGUUCAAUAAUUUUGUGCAUUGAAAUUUUCUGUUAGCAAUUUAUUAUGUAUUUUCAUGUUUCAUGAAUUUGAAUUUAUUGUAUAUAUCUUACCUAUUGCUGUUAUGCAAUUUAAAGAUGUAGAAUAUGGUAGCGACCUUAAGUUAUUUGUUUGUGUGCAAAAGAUGUAUUUUUUUCCUUUUUUUGCAUUCAAUUUAAAUUCGACUCUUAUGUAAAAAGACCUAGUUAAAGCUUGUGUAAUUCAUUUGGGAAAAUAAAGUUAUUCUUAGGACAUGUGAAAA
Uloborus diversus is the source of this 680-nucleotide long non-coding RNA. RefSeq lists it as uncharacterized. The record is from RefSeq and is a predicted model, not a curated record. The transcript has 2 exons. Lineage: Eukaryota; Metazoa; Arthropoda; Arachnida; Araneae; Uloboridae.